CCUACGGGAGGCAGCAGUGGGGAAUAUUGCACAAUGGGGGAAACUCUGAUGCAGCGACGCCGCGUGAGUGAAGAAGUAAUUAGUUAUGUAAAGCUCUAUCAGCAGGGAAGAAAAUGACGGUACCAAAGGAAUAAGCCCCGGCUAACUACGUGCCAGCAGCCGCGGUAAUACGUAGGGGGCAAGCGUUGUUCGGAAUGACUGGGCGUUAAGGGUGUGUAGGUGGUUUGAUAAGUUAGGUGUGUAAUACCCAGGGCUUAACUCGGGUGCUGCAUCUAAAACUGUUAGACUUGAGUACUGGAGAGGAUAGUGGAAUUCCUAGUGUAGCGGUGGAAUGCGUAGAUAUUAGGAGGAACAUCAGUGGCGAAGGCGACUAUCUGGACAGCAACUGACACUGAGGCACGAAAGCGUGGGGAGCAAACAGGAUUAGAUACCCGUGUAGUC
This 441-nucleotide ribosomal RNA is filed under the name uncultured bacterium. RNAcentral describes it as "partial 16S ribosomal RNA". It matches the Rfam family "Bacterial small subunit ribosomal RNA", at positions 338 to 795 of the family's 1533-position model. The record is from RNAcentral.